Molecule: ribosomal RNA, 391 nt
Filed under: uncultured bacterium
Lineage: Bacteria
Description: bacterial SSU rRNA
Rfam family: Bacterial small subunit ribosomal RNA
Source: RNAcentral
GACGAACGCUGGCGGCGUGCUUAACACAUGCAAGUCGAGCGGUAAGGCCCUUUCGGGGUACACGAGCGGCGAACGGGUGAGUAACACGUGGGUGACCUGCCCUCAGCUCUGGGAUAAGCCUGGGAAACCGGGUCUAAUACUGGAUAUGACUCCAUGACGCAUGUUGUGGGGUGGAAAGCCUUGUGCGGCUGAGGAUGGGCCCGCGGCCUAUCAGCUUGUUGGUGGGGUGAUGGCCUACCAAGGCGACGACGGGUAGCCGGCCUGAGAGGGCGACCGGCCACACUGGGACUGAGACACGGCCCAGACUCCUACGGGAGGCAGCAGUGGGGAAUCUUGCGCAAUGGGCGAAAGCCUGACGCAGCGACGCCGCGUGAGGGAUGACGGCCUGGUU